Molecule: long non-coding RNA, 207 nt
Organism: Diorhabda sublineata
Lineage: Eukaryota; Metazoa; Arthropoda; Insecta; Coleoptera; Chrysomelidae
Exons: 3
Source: RefSeq, a predicted model, not a curated record
UAGAGAGAAGCCUGAAGUAUGUUUAAUUAUGGAUAUUUGGAUUUAUGCUAAAGGAAGAGUUAGUCGGGAUCUACUUAAAAGUGCUGUAAUCUGCUCUAUUCAUUUUAAAGGGUACAGUUUUUUUAAUACUUCCAUAUCAUUGUGAAAACAGGAAAGAAGCAGAGUUAGAUGAAGAAACAGAAUGUAAUCAGUUCCUGGAUCGAUCCC